GGCUCAGUGGCGAAGUGGUUAACGCGGCGGUCUGCAAAACCGCUAUGCACCGGUUCAACUCCGGUCUGAGCCU
This 73-nucleotide transfer RNA is filed under the name bacterium. RNAcentral's name for it is "tRNA-Cys". It matches the Rfam family "tRNA". Rfam says of the family: Transfer RNA (tRNA) molecules are approximately 80 nucleotides in length. Their secondary structure includes four short double-helical elements and three loops (D, anti-codon, and T loops). Further hydrogen bonds mediate the characteristic L-shaped molecular structure. tRNAs have two regions of fundamental functional importance: the anti-codon, which is responsible for specific mRNA codon recognition, and the 3' end, to which the tRNAs corresponding amino acid is attached (by aminoacyl-tRNA synthetases). tRNAs cope with the degeneracy of the genetic code in two manners: having more than one tRNA (with a specific anti-codon) for a particular amino acid; and 'wobble' base-pairing, i.e. permitting non-standard base-pairing at the 3rd anti-codon position. The record is from RNAcentral.